AACGCAUAUUGCGCCCGAGGCUCUGCCAAGGGCUCGUCCGCUUGAGCGCCACAAACACCAGCCCCACCCCCCCCGGUUGUGCGGGGAAGGCUGCCAGACAGGACUAGACAAGGGGCUAAAAAUAAUCAAACUAGCCAAGGCCUGUCAUGGUUUCGUCUGGGUGGAACAUGUCCGUCGGUUGGAAACCGCCGUCGGGUUAAAUCCGGUGCCUAACGGGUGCAAGGACAAGAGCUUGGAUUCAACCCCAUCGCUUGUCCGGAACCCGUGAGGCUUCAUAUCGACAUGCAAGCUUGCACUUGCUUAACGCUGGCCUCAAGUCGGGCGAGACUACCCGCUGAAUUUAA
Molecule: unclassified non-coding RNA, 344 nt
Filed under: uncultured fungus
Lineage: Eukaryota; Fungi
Description: partial contains ITS1, 5.8S rRNA and ITS2
Source: RNAcentral